GGUUGUAUAGUGUAGUGGUUAGCACUCCGGAUUUUGAUGUUCUUCAUUGAAACCUUCCGGCAACCUGGGUUCGAGUCCCAGUACGACCU
Non-coding RNA from Ascosphaera aggregata, 89 nucleotides. The record is from the annotation of a GenBank genome assembly. Lineage: Eukaryota; Fungi; Ascomycota; Eurotiomycetes; Onygenales; Ascosphaeraceae.